This 243-nucleotide long non-coding RNA is filed under the name Homo sapiens (human). RNAcentral's name for it is "non-protein coding lnc-SLC4A3-2:14". The record is from RNAcentral. Lineage: Eukaryota; Metazoa; Chordata; Mammalia; Primates; Hominidae.
CAGUGAGGUAUGGCGUGUCCUCUCCAUGACAAUGUGAGGGAAAGUGAUGUAUGCCACUUCCAGGUUCUAUGGAACCCUGGAAUGAAGAGGAUGCCAACCUUGAAAAGCUAUUCUAGUUCUUUCAAUGUGCCAUAAUGGUAUAGGAGCAAAUGUUUCUGCUGAGGACACAGCAACGAAGCACCAAUUUUCACUGAGGUUCCUCACCAAACACUGAAUCCGCAAGUGCCUUGAUAUUGAACUUUC